This 76-nucleotide transfer RNA is filed under the name Candidatus Omnitrophota bacterium. RNAcentral's name for it is "tRNA-Thr". It matches the Rfam family "tRNA". Rfam says of the family: Transfer RNA (tRNA) molecules are approximately 80 nucleotides in length. Lineage: Bacteria; Pseudomonadati; Candidatus Omnitrophota. The record is from RNAcentral.
GCCGGCGUAGCUCAGUCGGUAGAGCGUCUGUUUUGUAAACAGAUGGUCGGGGGUUCGAUUCCUCUCGCCGGCUCCA